AACAAACGCUGGCGGCAUGCUUAACACAUGCAAGUCGAACGAGAAAGUCCUCUUCGGAGGGCGAGUAAAGUGGCGAUCGGGUGAGUAACACGUAAGAACCUGCCCUCAGGUCUGGGAUAACACCGCGAAAGUGGUGCUAAUACCAGAUGAUAUCGCAAGAUCAAAGAAGGCUUAUGGCUUUUACCUGGGGAGGGGCUUGCGGCCCAUUAGCUAGUUGGUGAGGUAAUGGCUCACCAAGGCUACGAUGGGUAGCCGGCCUGAGAGGGUGUACGGCCACACUGGAACUUAGACACGGUCCAGACUCCUACGGGAGGCAG
RNAcentral lists this ribosomal RNA (317 nucleotides) under uncultured bacterium. RNAcentral describes it as "bacterial SSU rRNA". It matches the Rfam family "Bacterial small subunit ribosomal RNA", at positions 29 to 351 of the family's 1533-position model. The record is from RNAcentral.